This 282-nucleotide ribosomal RNA is filed under the name uncultured Chloroflexota bacterium. Its description in RNAcentral is "uncultured Chloroflexi bacterium partial 16S ribosomal RNA". It matches the Rfam family "Bacterial small subunit ribosomal RNA", at positions 28 to 310 of the family's 1533-position model. The record is from RNAcentral. Lineage: Bacteria; Bacillati; Chloroflexota.
GAUGAACGCUGGCGGCGUGCUUAAUACAUGCAAGUCGAACGGAGACAGUAGCAAUAUUGUCUUAGUGGCGAACGGGUGAGUAACGCGUUGGUGACCUGCCCCGAAGAGGGGGAUAACAGUCCGAAAGGAUUGCUAAUACCCCAUGUGGUCAUUUGGAUUAGAUGCCUUAUGACUAAACGGAUUUAUUCGCUUCGGGAGGGGCCUGCGUCCCAUCAGCUAGUUGGUAAGGUAAUGGCUUACCAAGGCGAUGACGGGUAGGGGACCUGAGAGGGUGGCCCCCCA